ACCAAAUGCCAGUGGGGCAUUUGUUCACUGCCUUUACCAUUAAUCCAUAGACAUGUUUGCAAGACUGCGCAGGAUGCUUUGGAGAGAGAAUGGAGAGCAUAAAGAGACCAGAGAGAAGUAGAAAGAAGCUGGCCUUCAACCUCAGUGUCAGACACUGGGAAAUAAGUGGUCAUGGGGAAGGCACAGACCACUCCUCAGGCUCCUGUCACACCAUCAUCUGAAUCACCAUUGCAAGAAGAUUUCGUGAGUCCCUUGGGAUUUCUUAAAGGGAGGAAUUAGUUAAAAGAAAGUUUUUUUCCCACAUUAAAAAAGGGGAAACAUU
Peromyscus maniculatus bairdii (prairie deer mouse) is the source of this 322-nucleotide non-coding RNA. The record is from RefSeq and is a predicted model, not a curated record. Lineage: Eukaryota; Metazoa; Chordata; Mammalia; Rodentia; Cricetidae.